RNAcentral lists this ribosomal RNA (494 nucleotides) under uncultured bacterium. Its description in RNAcentral is "partial 16S ribosomal RNA". It matches the Rfam family "Bacterial small subunit ribosomal RNA", at positions 28 to 507 of the family's 1533-position model. The record is from RNAcentral.
GACGAACGCUGGCGGCGUGCUUAACACAUGCAAGUCGAACGGUGAAGCGCCUUCCUUUUUGGUGGGUGUGGAUGAGUGGCGAACGGGUGAGUAACACGUGAGUAACCUGCCCCCUUCUUCUGGAUAACCGCAUGAAAGUUUGGCUAAUACGGGAUAUUCUGGGUCUGUCGGAUGAUGGGUCUGGGAAAGAUAUUGUUUCGGUAGGUGAUGGUCUCGCGGCCUAUCAGGUUGUUGGUGGGGUGAUGGCCUACCAAGGCGGUGACGGGUAGCCGGCCUGGGAGGGUGGGCCGUCACACAGGGACUGCGCCGCGCAGACGCCUACUAGAGGCAGCAGUGGGGAGGAAUAUUGCACGAUGGGAGGACGGAUGAUGCCGCGCCGCGGCGUGGGAGAUGGUGUCCUUCGUGUUGUGAACUUCUAUCGGGAGUGAAGCAGGCUUGCCUAGUUUGUGGGUGGGUUGACGGUAGCUGGAGAAGAAGCGCCGGCUAACUACGUG